UUUUUUCUCCUGAGCAUCUAUUUGUCAUUUUAACAUGAAUGUAUUUCUAUUUUUCUCUAGGUGUCAUGGAUUAAUUGGCUCUCAUUCAGCAGGAACCUAACCGAUGAAUCCUUCUGCCGUGUAUCAAGACAAUGCUUGUGAAAAUGACUAAAGCUGUGUCUCAGUGUGACAUUUUUAGAGGAGGACAAGCAGCUUGAGAACUUCCUGUAAUUCAUACUGCAGCUUGAAGGAAGCCCCUUUCCAUUAAGUAAGACUGCAUGGCCAGCAGCCCCCACUGAAGAGCUGACAAUGAGCAUCCCCGUGGCUCCCAAGAAAUCAUGUUUCAAUCAAUUGCAGGACAACAGAAAUGGAGCAAGAAAUAAUAACGAGAGUAUUCUAAGUCUGGGAGAUACAAAUGCCAAUCAGAUCAUGUUGGCGGUCAGCUCCCCUCAGGAUGAGUCCAAGAUAUGUGACCUGACUGAUCAGAUUGGAAACGCAAAUUCAAGUGGGCAGGAACACCAUCUUCACUUCCAGAAGGAGGCUCAUCAACCUCAGGGCUUUAGGAGGGGGUCUCAGGCUGGCUCCACAAGUUUGAAAGACUUUAAACUUUCUCCUGCUUUCCCCAGAGGAUUACAUGAAGACUCUGCGGUGGAGAGAGGCACGGAGAUCUCACGGACUCCUCAGAGUUUGCAGGGGCCAAGCCUGUCAAGUUGGAGGAACGCGAUGAGCGAGGCCAGUUCAGAGGUUUUGGCUAAGAAAGAUGUUGAAGUUCCCUGGCGUGUUCCAAAGGACAAACUGGCCAAGACCCUUGACAAUGAAGAGUUGCGAAGGCAUUCUUUGGAAGGAGCAAGCCGCUCUGCAGCUGUGGCUGAGAGCUUGACUCCACAGCACCUUGCAAGGCCCGGUGCCCCUGAGCCACGGGAUCAUGUGCCCAGGUGUGGGGAGGAGCCGCAGAGGACACUGGCUGACCACUCUCCAGAGACAGCUUUUCUUCCAGCUUACAAUACCUCAGAGGGAAAGAGUGUGCGUCCUCCUAAGCCAUCUACCUCAGAAGCCAGGGACGCCAUCCCCUCCGAGGCCCAGAUGGAGGGGGCACAUGAACCUAAUGUUUGCAAUGAGCACAAGUCACGUUCUGCCCAUCCUGAGCCCGCUCUGAAUUCAGCUUUGCUGUCAAAGGAAAUCCUGAGUUAUCCUGAAGCACAAUUAGGUCAGGGAAAGGGAGAGCCGAAGCUGGAACUGAAAUGCGUUCAACUCAGGGCUGGGGAGGAGUUCACUUCAACCCAGGCAGGAGACCUGGGACGUCCCCAGGAAGAGAGGAUGUCACCCCUAGAGAGAAAGGAGACAUGUGGGGAAGCACACAAAGAAGCCACCAGUGCCAUUAGCGGUCCAUCAGACAGCGUCUGUCGUCAUCUUGGGGUGGGCAGAGGCGGCAGUGAGGAGACAGGAGUCAAGACAGGUGUGGAGGAAUCUCUCCAAACCACGCUCAAGCCGGUCCCUGCUUCCUUGGGAGUGGCUGGCAAUCAACUAACUGGCAAAAUGUCACUAAGCACAGGAAGUAAAUUGGGGGAACUGACAUCCGACGACUUUUCUCCCAGUGGUGGCCAUGUAGCCAUUGUUCCUAACGGCCUGCCUGACGGCAAGCCCUCAGAUGUCAGUGAGGAGAAACGGAGGCUGGAUAUUGGAAACGGGGACAGUGCUGUGGUGUUGGUAUCAGACCCUUCUGUGGGAGAGAGCAAAACUGAGGUUCCUGAGUCCCUGUAUCUUCAAAGCAGAAGCUCCGAAGUGGGGGAAAACAAAGAUACGGCAACACUUGUGGCUGAACCUACGAACCUUCUAGAAAAUGAAUCCAAGACUGAUAUUACUCCAUCUAGAGAAGAUUCAUUUCUCAGUACCCCAGCUACCCUUCACCCAGAGACAACUGUGAACAUGACCCACCAGCCCACGCCACCCAGUAACGUUUUCCAGGACCCUGGUGUGUUCGGUGUGGGUCCAGGGUCACCCUCAGUGGUCCCGCCCUCCGCUGACAGUGUGCAGCUGUUGAACACAUCCCCGAAAGUGCCUGACAAGAACACCUGCCCCAGUGGGAUCCCCAAGCCUGUCGUCACACAUUCCAAGGGCACAGCUUCCUUGCAGGAAGGAGUGGAGAAGCAGGUUGAAAAAAUGGAAGACAGAACAGACACGAAGCCCAUUGUUAUGCCCAAGCCCAAGCACGUGAGGCCUAAGAUCAUCACCUACAUCCGGAGGAACCCACAGGCCCUGGGCCCCGUGGACACUUCGCUGGUUUCUGUGGGGCUUCCCUAUGCCCCGCCCCCAUGUAGCAUGGCCCCACCCCAGGAAGACAGGGUGGCAAGUAGUGACCUGAAGUCGACUGCCAGCCUGUAUGAGAAAUUCAAGCCUGACUUGCAGAAGCCCAGGGUCUUCAGUUCUGGGUUGAUGGUGUCUGGGAUCAAGCCUCCAGGACAUCCUUUCAGUCAAAUGAGUGAGAAGUUUUUACAGGAGGUGGCGGACCACUCUGGAAAAGAAGAAUUCUGUUCUCCUCCCUAUACGCAUUAUGAAGUUCCCCCAACUUUCUAUCGAUCAGCCAUGCUCCUUAAGCCCCAGCUGGGACUGGGAGCAGUGUCCCGGCUGCCCUCUGCGAAGAGCAGGAUUCUGAUCGCAAGUCAGCGGUCUUCAGCCAGCGCCAUCCAUCCGCCAGGACCCAUCGCGACAGCUGCCAGUCUCUACGCUUCGGAUCCCUCAGAUUUAAAGAAAGCCUCCAGUUCAAAUGCUGCAAAAUCCAAUCUACCCAAAUCUGGGCUUCGUCCUCCUGGGUACUCACGUCUUCCGGCUGCCAAGAUGGCAGCAUUUGGCUUUGUCCGGAGCUCCAGUGUCUCUUCGGUUUCCAGUACUCAAUCUGUGGACAGUGCCCAGCCUGAGGAGAGCCGGCCAGUCACCCGUGAGUGGGGCAUGUGGGGCAGGUGGGGUGGGCACACACCUGAGCAAUUCUCUGGCAGGCAUGACUGUGUGCUGAGGACAUACCCGUGUGCCUGGGUCCCUGGGUGUCGUUUUCUUUGCCUGAUUAGUUAAGAAUACAGAUACACUCUUGUUAUUGUUAUUACUGCAUUUUAAUCUUCC
Long non-coding RNA from Chinchilla lanigera (long-tailed chinchilla), 3093 nucleotides. NCBI's taxonomy places the organism in Eukaryota, Metazoa, Chordata, Mammalia, Rodentia, Chinchillidae. The record is from Ensembl.